CCGCCGGGGCUGCAGCUGGUGCUGGCUGGCACUUGCGGCGGCCACUGAGGAGCUUCUGGGCGACCUUGCGCUGGUACCCACCAGGCGCCAGCCAGUAGGUGCACAGCGCCUGCUCCAGUAGCGUCAAGUCUUUGCUGCGCGGACCCCGCAGGCCGGGAAGUCAGGCAGGUAUAGUAGUCCAGGUGGAGGUAAAGCUUUUCCUGGUAGCUUAUGGGUGGCGGCCGCUGGAUUGAAGCCUGCGGACAUGACCUACCAGCAGGCCGCCUGGAGUCACCCUCACACGCAAGCGCGCUCCUGGAAGACCCAGCACUCCCACCUCGAGUUCCGAUUGGCUCCGCGUGAGGGGCGGGCCUUUGCGGCAUCUUAGGGGGGCGCCUUCUGCCACGUCACUGGCGGUACAGUUCCUGGAGCUGGGCAGUCUUCUCAGAGUGGAACCUGAUGAUGAUUAUUCUCCAUCUUCUAAGAGACCAAAGACCAACGAGCCACCAGUUCCAGAACCUGCCAAUGUUGGGCAACAGAAAGUGAGGGAGUUCAACUCUGUUUUCAGAGAAAUGGAAUAAUCAUAUCGCUGAUCUAUGUAAAUAAGUUGAAGAAUUGUCUG
Piliocolobus tephrosceles (Ugandan red Colobus) is the source of this 601-nucleotide long non-coding RNA. The record is from Ensembl. NCBI's taxonomy places the organism in Eukaryota, Metazoa, Chordata, Mammalia, Primates, Cercopithecidae.